AGAGUUUGAUCAUGGCUCAGAACGAACGCUGGCGGCGUGGAUAAGACAUGCAAGUCGAACGAGAGAAUUGCUAGCUUGCUAAUAAUUCUCUAGUGGCGCACGGGUGAGUAACACGUGAGUAACCUGCCCCCGAGAGCGGGAUAGCCCUGGGAAACUGGGAUUAAUACCGCAUAGUAUCGAAAGAUUAAAGCAGCAAUGCGCUUGGGGAUGGGCUCGCGGCCUAUUAGUUAGUUGGUGAGGUAACGGCUCACCAAGGCGAUGACGGGUAGCCGGUCUGAGAGGAUGUCCGGCCACACUGGAACUGAGACACGGUCCAGACACCUACGGGUGGCAGCAGUCGAGAAUCAUUCACAAUGGGGGAAACCCUGAUGGUGCGACGCCGCGUGGGGGAAUGAAGGUCUUCGGAUUGUAAACCCCUGUCAUGUGGGAGCAAAUUAAAAAGAUAGUACCACAAGAGGAAGAGACGGCUAACUCUGUGCCAGCAGCCGCGGUAAUACAGAGGUCUCAAGCGUUGUUCGGAAUCACUGGGCGUAAAGCGUGCGUAGGCUGUUUCGUAAGUCGUGUGUGAAAGGCGCGGGCUCAACCCGCGGACGGCACAUGAUACUGCGAGACUAGAGUAAUGGAGGGGGAACCGGAAUUCUCGGUGUAGCAGUGAAAUGCGUAGAUAUCGAGAGGAACACUCGUGGCGAAGGCGGGUUCCUGGACAUUAACUGACGCUGAGGCACGAAGGCCAGGGGAGCGAAAGGGAUUAGAUACCCCUGUAGUCCUGGCAGUAAACGGUGCACGCUUGGUGUGCGGGGAAUCGACCCCCUGCGUGCCGGAGCUAACGCGUUAAGCGUGCCGCCUGGGGAGUACGGUCGCAAGAUUAAAACUCAAAGAAAUUGACGGGGACCCGCACAAGCGGUGGAGUAUGUGGCUUAAUUCGAUGCAACGCGAAGAACCUUACCUGGGCUUGACAUGUAAUGAACAACAUGUGAAAGCAUGCGACUCUUCGGAGGCGUUACACAGGUGCUGCAUGGCCGUCGUCAGCUCGUGUCGUGAGAUGUUUGGUUAAGUCCAGCAACGAGCGCAACCCCUGUUGCCAGUUACCAGCACGUGAAGGUGGGGACUCUGGCGAGACUGCCCAGAUCAACUGGGAGGAAGGUGGGGACGACGUCAGGUCAGUAUGGCCCUUAUGCCCAGGGCUGCACACGUACUACAAUGCCCAGUACAGAGGGGGCCGAAGCCGCGAGGCGGAGGAAAUCCUGAAAACUGGGCCCAGUUCGGACUGUAGGCUGCAACCCGCCUACACGAAGCCGGAAUCGCUAGUAAUGGCGCAUCAGCUACGGCGCCGUGAAUACGUUCCCGGGUCUUGUACACACCGCCCGUCACAUCAUGGAAGCCGGUCGCACCCGAAGUAUCUGAAGCCAACCGCAAGGAGGCAGGGUCCUAAGGUGAGACUGGUAACUGGGAUGAAGUCGUAACAAGGUAGCCGUAGGGGAACCUGCGGCUGGAUCACCUCCUU
RNAcentral lists this ribosomal RNA (1504 nucleotides) under uncultured bacterium. RNAcentral's name for it is "bacterial SSU rRNA". It matches the Rfam family "Bacterial small subunit ribosomal RNA". The record is from RNAcentral.